RNAcentral lists this ribosomal RNA (468 nucleotides) under uncultured bacterium. RNAcentral describes it as "partial 16S ribosomal RNA". It matches the Rfam family "Bacterial small subunit ribosomal RNA", at positions 28 to 507 of the family's 1533-position model. The record is from RNAcentral.
GACGAACGCUGGCGGCGUGCUUAACACAUGCAAGUCGAACGGAAAGGCCCUGCUUUUGUGGGGUGCUCGAGUGGCGAACGGGUGAGUAACACGUGAGUAACCUGCCCUUGACUUUGGGAUAACUUCAGGAAACUGGGGCUAAUACCGGAUCGGAGCUCCUGCUGCAUGGUGGGGGUUGGAAAGUUUCGGCGGGUGGGGAUGGACUCGCGGCUUAUCAGCUUGUUGGUGGGGUAGUGGCUUACCAAGGCUUUGACGGGUAGCCGGCCUGAGAGGGUGACCGGCCACAUUGGGACUGAGAUACGGCGCAGACUGCUACGGGAGGCAGCAGUGGGGAAUAUGGCACAAUGGGCGGAAGCCGGAUGCAGCAACGCCGCGGGCGGGAUGACGGCCUUCGGGUUGUAAACCGCUUUCGCCUGUGACGAAGCGUGAGUGACGGUAAUGGGUAAAGAAGCACCGGCUAACUACGUG